RNAcentral lists this ribosomal RNA (670 nucleotides) under Debaryomyces hansenii. Its description in RNAcentral is "partial large subunit ribosomal RNA". It matches the Rfam family "Eukaryotic large subunit ribosomal RNA", at positions 225 to 915 of the family's 3401-position model. The record is from RNAcentral. Lineage: Eukaryota; Fungi; Ascomycota; Pichiomycetes; Serinales; Debaryomycetaceae.
CGAUGAGAUGCCCAAUUCUAUGUAAAGUGCUUUCGAAGAGUCGAGUUGUUUGGGAAUGCAGCUCUAAGUGGGUGGUAAAUUCCAUCUAAAGCUAAAUAUUGGCGAGAGACCGAUAGCGAACAAGUACAGUGAUGGAAAGAUGAAAAGAACUUUGAAAAGAGAGUGAAAAAGUACGUGAAAUUGUUGAAAGGGAAGGGCUUGAGAUCAGACUUGGUAUUUUGCGAUCCUUUCCUUCUUGGUUGGGUUCCUCGCAGCUUACUGGGCCAGCAUCGGUUUGGAUGGUAGGAUAAUGACUAAGGAAUGUGGCUCUACUUCGGUGGAGUGUUAUAGCCUUGGUUGAUACUGCCUGUCUAGACCGAGGACUGCGUCUUUUGACUAGGAUGUUGGCAUAAUGAUCUUAAGCCACCCGUCUUGAAACACGGACCAAGGAGUCUAACGUCUAUGCGAGUGUUUGGGUGUAAAACCCGUACGCGUAAUGAAAGUGAACGUAGGUGAGAGCUCUUAAGAGUGCAUCAUCGACCGAUCCUGAUGUCUUCGGAUGGAUUUGAGUAAGAGCAUAGCUGUUGGGACCCGAAAGAUGGUGAACUAUGCCUGAAUAGGGUGAAGCCAGAGGAAACUCUGGUGGAGGCUCGUAGCGGUUCUGACGUGCAAAUCGAUCGUCGAAUUUGGG